UUUUUCUAUUUUUAGAAUUAUAGAGUGGGGAUUGGACUGAACAAUUUAAAAAUGAGAAUGAUGAAUCUAAAGAU
RNAcentral lists this transfer RNA (74 nucleotides) under Inga pezizifera. RNAcentral describes it as "tRNA-Glu". The record is from RNAcentral. RNAcentral also lists the same sequence under 1 other name. Lineage: Eukaryota; Viridiplantae; Streptophyta; Magnoliopsida; Fabales; Fabaceae.